GUACACGCUGUGACUAGCAUAUCAAUAAGCGGAGGAAAAGAAACUAACAAGGAUUCCCCUAGUAACGGCGAGUGAAGCAGGAAGAGCUCAAAUUUGAAAUCUUAAAGGGUUUCCCUUUACGAAUUGUAGUUUAAAGAAGUGUUUUCUGUUGAGGUUUUGGUAAAAGUUCUUUGGAAUAGGACAUCAUAGAGGGUGAGAAUCCCGUAUUUGACCUUUACUUUCAACUUUGUGAUACACUUUCAAAGAGUCGGAUUGUUUGGGAAUGCAGUCCAAAAUGGGUGGUAAAUUUCAUCUAAAGCUAAAUAUUGGCGAGAGACCGAUAGCGAACAAGUACCGUGAGGGAAAGAUGAAAAGAACUUUGAAAAGAGAGUUAAACAGUACGUGAAAUUGUCAAAAGGGAAGCGUUUGACACCAGUGUUGCUUUUCUGAAAAUCAAUUAAAGAACUGUUUAUGCUAAGCUGUUUAGACUUUAUCAGCUAUCUGUUUAGUUUUGAGCUUUUCUUUAAUGCACUUUUCAGUUAACAAGUCAACAUCAAUUUCUUUUGCUGUAAAAAAGCUUGAGGAAGGUGGCUUGAGAUUCGUCUUAAGUGUUUAUAGCCUCUUGCCUAUGCAGUCGGAGAGAUUGAGGUCUGCAGCGUAGAUCCUUCGGGGCUAAAUGCAUUUGUGCUAAGUUAUAGCAUUUUAUAGACAACUUGUUGACUAUGAUUUGUCUUGUAGCUUACUCGCUUAUGUUAUUUUACCUACGCUUAGGAUGUUGAAGAUGUAGCACAUCAU
This 774-nucleotide ribosomal RNA is filed under the name uncultured Neocallimastigales. Its description in RNAcentral is "partial large subunit ribosomal RNA". It matches the Rfam family "Eukaryotic large subunit ribosomal RNA", at positions 22 to 635 of the family's 3401-position model. The record is from RNAcentral. Lineage: Eukaryota; Fungi; Neocallimastigomycota; Neocallimastigomycetes; Neocallimastigales.